Molecule: ribosomal RNA, 519 nt
Filed under: Escherichia coli
Lineage: Bacteria; Pseudomonadati; Pseudomonadota; Gammaproteobacteria; Enterobacterales; Enterobacteriaceae
Also listed under: 1 other name
Description: partial 23S ribosomal RNA
Rfam family: Bacterial large subunit ribosomal RNA
Source: RNAcentral
CUGCGAGCGUGACGGCGCGAGCAGGUGCGAAAGCAGGUCAUAGUGAUCCGGUGGUUCUGAAUGGAAGGGCCAUCGCUCAACGGAUAAAAGGUACUCCGGGGAUAACAGGCUGAUACCGCCCAAGAGUUCAUAUCGACGGCGGUGUUUGGCACCUCGAUGUCGGCUCAUCACAUCCUGGGGCUGAAGUAGGUCCCAAGGGUAUGGCUGUUCGCCAUUUAAAGUGGUACGCGAGCUGGGUUUAGAACGUCGUGAGACAGUUCGGUCCCUAUCUGCCGUGGGCGCUGGAGAACUGAGGGGGGCUGCUCCUAGUACGAGAGGACCGGAGUGGACGCAUCACUGGUGUUCGGGUUGUCAUGCCAAUGGCACUGCCCGGUAGCUAAAUGCGGAAGAGAUAAGUGCUGAAAGCAUCUAAGCACGAAACUUGCCCCGAGAUGAGUUCUCCCUGACUCCUUGAGAGUCCUGAAGGAACGUUGAAGACGACGACGUUGAUAGGCCGGGUGUGUAAGCGCAGCGAUGCGU